UAUGGCCUACGGGAGGCAGCAGUGAGGAAUAUUGGCCAAUGGGCGGGAGCCUGAACCAGCCAAGCCGCGUGAGGGAAGAAGGUACAGCGUAUCGUAAACCUCUUUUGUCAGGGAACAAAGGCGGGGACUAGUCCCCGGAUGAGGGUACCUGAAGAGAAAGCCACGGCUAACUACGUGCCAGCAGCCGCGGUAAUACGUAGGUGGCAAGCGUUAUCCGGAAUUAUUGGGCGUAAAGAGCGCGCAGGUGGUUAAUUAAGUCUGAUGUGAAAGCCCACGGCUUAACCGUGGAGGGUCAUUGGAAACUG
This 305-nucleotide ribosomal RNA is filed under the name uncultured bacterium. RNAcentral describes it as "bacterial SSU rRNA". It matches the Rfam family "Bacterial small subunit ribosomal RNA", at positions 333 to 635 of the family's 1533-position model. The record is from RNAcentral.